GCAAUAACAAUUAUAUUGAGAAAAUUUUGCACUAAACCGUUUCCUAUCAUUUAUGUAAACAACAUUCCUCAGAUUAAAAUCGGAUGAUAAAAAAAAAAAUAUAUUAAGAAAAUUUGUGAUUUGAGUCUCAAAUUUUCACAACUGAAGU
RNAcentral lists this small RNA (148 nucleotides) under Arabidopsis thaliana (thale cress). Its description in RNAcentral is "ATSL052860". Lineage: Eukaryota; Viridiplantae; Streptophyta; Magnoliopsida; Brassicales; Brassicaceae. The record is from RNAcentral.